AUGAAAUGUGCCUAUCAGUGCACAGAAGCACUUUUGGGAGAAGUGUGGCCAUGCUGGCCCUGGCUAGCUAGCACUGCAGCACCCAUACAGCUUGACAGGUUCCAGACACAGCUGGCUCAGCUCUGGCUUGGGCAUCUCUUCAGGAUUCAGCCAGCGUCAUGCAAGUGCCUCUGCAGUAGAAGGGCCCCUGAUCUGCAUCCAGCAACCCAGCACCAUGCUCCACACAGACCCAGAAGGAGGCUCCUCUGCUGGCAAUAAACACCUCACACCUGGGAGACAGGCUCCCCUAAUUAGUAUUAAAACCCGAAGUUUUUUUCCACCAUGCUUUGAAGCUUUCUAGGAUGCCUUUCUGUGAAUAAUAAUGUCCUCAAUUCAACAUAAUGCAACGCUCAAUCAAAAGGAGCUACAGCAAUCACUUCCCAACAAGCCACAUCGCCCCUUCCCCUCCCUCUGUACAACUGAUGAUGCAGGAAAAGUCCAGCCUGGAAGAGGUGCUCAGAAGCUG
Molecule: long non-coding RNA, 505 nt
Filed under: Anas platyrhynchos platyrhynchos (common mallard)
Lineage: Eukaryota; Metazoa; Chordata; Aves; Anseriformes; Anatidae
Description: lncRNA (ENSAPLG00000022009.1)
Source: RNAcentral